CGCGCAGGCGGUCCGCUACGUUCUGGGUGACAGUGCGCGGCUUCACUGCGCAAGGUCCUGGAAAACGGGCAGACUUGAGGGCUUCAGAGGGACACGGAAUUCCGGGUGGAGUGGUGAAAUGCGUAGAGAUCCGGAGGAACACCAAAGGCGAAGGCAGUGUCCUGGGAAGCAUCUGACGCUCAGGUGCGAAAGCCAGGGGAGCGAACG
This 207-nucleotide ribosomal RNA is filed under the name uncultured bacterium. RNAcentral's name for it is "partial 16S ribosomal RNA". It matches the Rfam family "Bacterial small subunit ribosomal RNA", at positions 568 to 774 of the family's 1533-position model. The record is from RNAcentral.